RNAcentral lists this transfer RNA (72 nucleotides) under Phytophthora quercina. RNAcentral's name for it is "tRNA-Gly". It matches the Rfam family "tRNA". Rfam says of the family: Transfer RNA (tRNA) molecules are approximately 80 nucleotides in length. Their secondary structure includes four short double-helical elements and three loops (D, anti-codon, and T loops). Further hydrogen bonds mediate the characteristic L-shaped molecular structure. tRNAs have two regions of fundamental functional importance: the anti-codon, which is responsible for specific mRNA codon recognition, and the 3' end, to which the tRNAs corresponding amino acid is attached (by aminoacyl-tRNA synthetases). tRNAs cope with the degeneracy of the genetic code in two manners: having more than one tRNA (with a specific anti-codon) for a particular amino acid; and 'wobble' base-pairing, i.e. permitting non-standard base-pairing at the 3rd anti-codon position. The record is from RNAcentral. Lineage: Eukaryota; Oomycota; Peronosporomycetes; Peronosporales; Peronosporaceae.
GCAAAAAUAGCUCAACGGUAGAGUAUAACCUUGCCAAGGUUAAUGUUGAGGGUUCAAAUCCCUUUUUUUGCU